RNAcentral lists this ribosomal RNA (253 nucleotides) under uncultured bacterium. RNAcentral's name for it is "partial 16S ribosomal RNA". It matches the Rfam family "Bacterial small subunit ribosomal RNA", at positions 524 to 776 of the family's 1533-position model. The record is from RNAcentral.
UACGAAGGGGGCGAGCGUUGUUCGGAUUUACUGGGCGUAAAGGGCGCGCAGGCGGCCAUUCAAGUCAGGCGUGAAAGCCCCGGGCUUAACCUGGGAGGUGCGUCUGGGACUGGGUGGCUGGAGAUCGGGAGAGGAGAGUGGAAUUCCCAGUGUAGAGGUGAAAUUCGUAGAUAUUGGGAAGAACACCGGUGGCGAAGGCGGCUCUCUGGGCCUGUACUGACGCUGAGGAGCGAAAGCGUGGGGAGCGAACAGG